RNAcentral lists this long non-coding RNA (2395 nucleotides) under Homo sapiens (human). RNAcentral describes it as "uncharacterized LOC105373390, transcript variant 4 (LOC105373390)". The record is from RNAcentral. Lineage: Eukaryota; Metazoa; Chordata; Mammalia; Primates; Hominidae.
AUUCAGUGAGUCAGCAGCACAGCUCCUCCAGCACGCAGAGAACAGCGGUCCAUGGAGGGAGGGCGUGAGCCUGGGGUUUUACUGAGGAAGGAUAGUGGGUUUUUCAGUCCCUGAAGCUGCUGCUCUGCCCACUCAGGAAGGUGAGGAAGGCAGACGACAGCGUACAUCCAGCCUCUGCUCUUGAGAUCUUCCCGGAUUCUUACUCUUGCUUCCAGCUUCUGACCCAAGAGAAGCACCCGGUUCACGAAUGAUUCCCACCAGUGCCAGCAUCGUGCGCUUCCAACUUUCCCAAUUUCAGGGCUCCCUGUUGGCCAGAGCCAACCAGAAGGAGGAGAGCAAGAAGCCACGGACACUGUCAGCGUCCAUGCCACAACCUCACAGGCAUGGCCAGGGGGAGCGGUGGGUGGCCCAGCCUGCGAGAGAAGCAGACCCUGCUCAGCCCACCCCUGAGAUCACGCAGCCGGCACCGGCGCACUCUGGGGGGACUCUGGGCCCUGCUCUCACCUCGUGAGUCUGAACAAGUCACCUCUUCUCUCUACGCUUUAAACGCUGCAUCUGUACGGCAGAGAUAAAACUGCAGCUCCUCCACGGGGCUUCCGUGAGGGUUAAUGAAGUAACACACGCACGGCAGCUGACAUGCAGCAAGGGCUCAGCCACCGUGAGCUUCUCAGCCUCCCCGGGGCUGCAGACCCAGCACCUGGGGCCUCACCUUCCCAGAGACUGGCCCAGGUGGUAAAGCGGCAGCGCGAACUUCCUAGGAGUGAGGGACGAGGGUGAACAAAGGGCAUGGGAGGGAACAAGGGCAUAUUUCCUACCCCUUAAAUUCAAGCAGCUCUUCGAGGUCCCAAGAGCACUUUCAGCUGAAUGCACAUGGAUGCCGUGAGGCCGCUGGAGACGGUGCGUUGUCUGAAUGGUGCGGAGAGAGCUCCCGAGGCUCACAAAGGCUGGGCGAUGUGCCCAAGGCCGUAUGGCUUGUUACCCGCGGUGCAGCCAUCAGUCCUGGAUCUGAUUCCAGAUUCUGAGUAUCUGCCGUGCACAUGUGUGUGUACGCGGCCUGAAGCAGGCAUAUCUGCCUAUGCUAAUGCAUGCACUUUACACACACAGAGCCUGGGUGCAUGUGUCUCUGUGCUCAGUCUCCCCACAGGUACGGCAGCCCCCCUGAGGGCAGGCAUUGUGCCUGAUGCACCUUUGUCUCCAGCAGCACACAGUCAGGGCUCAGCCCACGUGUGGGCCAGUGCAGCGUUUUCUCCAGAGCCUGCUCCAGGAAGAGGAGGAAAUCUUCUCUCUGACUACUGGGAACUUAACAGGAAGAGGAGGGACAAGUGUGCUCCUAUCUGCCUACUUGUUCUCCCUCCAUGCUGAGGUUUUUCUACCUCCACAUGAUUAAAAAACGGCAAAUAAGUUAGCAUAUGAAAAUAUGUAGCAAGGGUGAAAAUGGCCCUGCGGGAGGUCACAGCCAUAGUGACAGUGUUCCAGGCUUCCAGGUGUACCUGCCACACCGGGCCGAGUGGAAAGAAGGCCUUCCCAGAAGGGCGCCAUCUCAGUGUUGGCAAGGCCAAGGCUCCUACAUGACUUUCUUUCCAGAAUCGGUGUAACAGUCCCAUAAAGGAUGCUUCAGUUUUCCAGCAAUCUCCUCUCCUGGGUGUGGGCACUGCUGGCAAGCAAAUCAAUUGGUCCCACAGCUCUGCCAUCCAAGACACAGAGCUGAGCUGACAUCCUCCAGAGAACCCCAGAGACUCACACCUGGGCACCUGGGCCCGUUCAACACGGAGCAACAGGCAGGCACUGAGCGUGCUGUCAGCUGAGCAGUGAAAAGGGACGAGCUGCUAUGUCAAAAAUGACACGCCGGCUUCUGCUGGUCUUGCAAAAGAGCUCUGCAGUGAUGUGACUGCAGCUGACAUCCCGCAACAGCAGCGGCUGGUUUCUGUGCUGGAUUGAAAUUCAUCCAGCUCCCUGUGUUCACAGCGAUGACUUCCAAUGCUAAUUCUCAGCGAGCAGGGCAUGAAAUAUAUUCACAGGCGCUGCUUGGUGAGGGCCCUUUGGAGUUAUUUGAGGUACCUGUGAUGAAAACAUCUGUGCCACUUGCUUUUGUGCAUUUUUGUUCCCUUGGUUUCAAUUAUGCAAAGAAUCUUUGGGCAAGAGAAAGAGAGAGGGGGAGAGAGAGAGUUUGCUGAUGUAGUCUUUUUCCUUUUUGAUAAGAGUGAGUGCCUGGUCUGAUGCCUGAACAGGGGAAGCAUAAGAAGAGAGAGGCAGACUUUCAUCUUCCGCAAAGACACAGGGACGUGCUCUGCCUCAUGCAAAUGAGCUGUUCUAAAAGCGUCCCUGUGUCCUGCUGAGCCGCCUGGGCUCCCUUAGCCCUUCUCUCCACAGGACAAAUAAAGGGUGAGUUUACUGA